UAGUGGUUCAGAAAGUGUUGUCUGUACCUUUCUUCAUGCUCGUUAUAAUCUCUUGAUUAGCUGCUAAUCUCUAACUCCUCACAUCUAACCGUUGAUACUUGCAGCCUUCUUCUUCAUCAUCCGAUGAAAGUUCAUACUCCACCGGCACACUGGCAAAGAAAGAGGAUAAGCCUUCUUCAUCAGUAGAUAGAAGUACGUACCUCACCAGAACACCAGAAAACAAAGAGGCUAAGAAAUCUUCGGGUCCACUCGCACUUACCCUACUCGUUGAGGACGGGUCAAAGCAUGGUAGGAUUGAUUCCACCGC
Magnolia sinica is the source of this 307-nucleotide long non-coding RNA. RefSeq lists it as uncharacterized. The transcript has 3 exons. Lineage: Eukaryota; Viridiplantae; Streptophyta; Magnoliopsida; Magnoliales; Magnoliaceae. The record is from RefSeq and is a predicted model, not a curated record.